This 69-nucleotide transfer RNA is filed under the name Isichthys henryi. Its description in RNAcentral is "tRNA-Phe". It matches the Rfam family "tRNA". From Rfam's summary of the family: Transfer RNA (tRNA) molecules are approximately 80 nucleotides in length. Lineage: Eukaryota; Metazoa; Chordata; Actinopteri; Osteoglossiformes; Mormyridae. The record is from RNAcentral.
GCUAGUGUAGCUUAUGCAAAGCGUAACACUGAAAAUGUUAAGACGAGUCCCAAUAAGACUCCACAGGCA